RNAcentral lists this ribosomal RNA (525 nucleotides) under uncultured bacterium. Its description in RNAcentral is "bacterial SSU rRNA". It matches the Rfam family "Bacterial small subunit ribosomal RNA", at positions 355 to 894 of the family's 1533-position model. The record is from RNAcentral.
UUAGGGAUCUUGCGCAAUGGCCGAAAGGCUGACACAGCGACGCCGCGUGGGGGAGGACGGCCCUCGGGUUGUAAACCCCUUUUGGCGGGGACGAGGAUGGACGGUACCCGCCGAAUAAGCACCGGCUAACUCCGUGCCAGCAGCCGCGGUAAUACGGGGGGUGCGAGCGUUGUCCGGAUUCACUGGGCGUAAAGGGCGCGUAGGCGGCUGGCUCAGUCGGGCCUGUAAGUGCGGGGCUUAACCCCGUGAUGGGCCCGGGACGGGUCGGCUGGGGGCGCGGUCGAGGGAGACGGAAUGCCGGGUGUAGUGGUGAAAUGCGUAGAGAUCCGGCGGAACACCGGUGGUGAAGGCGGUCUCCUGGGGCCGAGGGCCGACGCUGAGGCGCGAGAGCGUGGGGAGCGAACCGGAUUAGAUACCCGGGUAGUCCACGCCGUAAACGGUGGAUGCUAGGUGUGGGGGGUAUCGACCCCCCCGUGCCGGCGCGAACGCAGGAAGCAUCCCGCCUGGGGAGUACGGCCGCAAGGC